CAGGCGGAGAAGGAAGGAGGAAGAGCGGAGGCCAGGGCGGGCUCUAGGCCGUGGAAUCUGGGGCCUUAAAGCCCCUUCGUCUCCCCGGCACCCACUCUCUGGGGGCAGGCGGGCCUGCUGACAGCAGUGACCUUCAGGGACCCCUGAAGACCAUGGAGGACUACUGACCAACAACCUCUGACCUUCACCCCUCUGGAUGGGGGGACGAAUCACUAGGCAAAGGGGAACAAUGGGAAGAAGACAAAAUGGCUGCCUUUACGGCUGCAGCGAGAGUUGGAAACACUGGUUCCCUAGGCACCUCCAUUGUCUUCCCGCUUUGGGAACAUGAAAUAAAGUGUGAAUGGGAACAUGAGGAAGACUGACCCAGGUCACUUGACCUGUCUUUUGUCUAAUUGUUGAUCUCAGCCUCCCAGCAACUCAGGAUUGGGGCUGCGACGUCUGCUUUGUCCUUCGAUACUCAACCCUAAGCAGAGAAAAACAUCUUAAAAAUCGAAGCUAAUUAACCCAGUCCCUCUGUUCAGAUCCACCUGCUGCCCUAUCUGCAUUUGGCAGUUCCUGUACAUACUUUGCCCCCAUGUUUUGUCUGAGUUCUACAUCUUCCUUGUCUCCCCGCAGGGAUGGGAAAUGGGCAGUAGUGGGAGAUUCAGGUAUAAACAGUGGCUUUGUUUCUCUGGUGCCUGAGAUUCAGGAAGGCCUGUCUUGGGAAGAUAAGUGUCAGCUUAUCUGUGGACUGAACAGACAGGCACCUGUUCCGUUGGCCCCAGAGCUGUGGGAAAGCCCACCUCCACAGGGGGGCCCUGUUAGCGAGCAGCUCCUCACGCCUGGUGACUGAGAAAUAGAGUGUGGGUGGCCUAUAGCAGGCCGUGCAAUCCACCGGGCUUCUGGGCACAGAAGUGCCUCAACAGGCACAGGCAGGCUCCCCACAGCCACAAGGAACCCUGCAACCAAGGAAGCAGCUCUGUUGGGGUCAUCAGAUUUUAAAUCUGGCUCAGCAAAGCCAUGGCUGCCCAGCCUUAAAAAAACAGGUGGUGUGGGAGAAAUGGAGGGUGGGGUGAAGAGCACAGCUGGGCCUCCAGAACUCAGGGCCAGCCUUCCCAGUUUGGGUCCUGUUUUGGAGCCCAGGCCCAGCUUCCCCGUAGCUGCCCCAGCCAGAUUUGUUUGCGCCCCCUGCUGGCAGACACAAAGACAGACUCAGGAGCGCAUAUGUGAACGUGCGCAUGCGUGCUGCCCGUUAUCCAGUUCGUGAACACGUGAAGCGUGAAGCCUUGACUUCAGGUUAAGUAAUAAAAAUUUAUUGAGA
Molecule: long non-coding RNA, 1300 nt
Organism: Cercocebus atys (sooty mangabey)
Lineage: Eukaryota; Metazoa; Chordata; Mammalia; Primates; Cercopithecidae
Exons: 2
Source: RefSeq, a predicted model, not a curated record